This 42-nucleotide ribosomal RNA is filed under the name uncultured Thelephoraceae. RNAcentral's name for it is "partial 28S ribosomal RNA". The record is from RNAcentral. Lineage: Eukaryota; Fungi; Basidiomycota; Agaricomycetes; Thelephorales; Thelephoraceae.
AUCUCAAAUCAGGUAGGACUACCCGCUGAACUUAAGCAUAUC